AGAGUUUGAUCAUGGCUCAGAUUGAACGCUGGCGGCAUGCUUUACACAUGCAAGUCGAACGGCAGCACGGGGGCAACCCUGGUGGCGAGUGGCGAACGGGUGAGUAAUGCAUCGGAACGUAUCCUUGAGUGGGGGAUAACGCAGCGAAAGUUGUGCUAAUACCGCAUAAGCUCUGAGGAGGAAAGCGGGGGACCGAAAGGCCUCGCGCUGAAGGAGCGGCCGAUGUCCGAUUAGCUAGUUGGUGAGGUAAAGGCUUACCAAGGCGACGAUCGGUAGCUGGUCUGAGAGGAUGAUCAGCCACACUGGGACUGAGACACGGCCCAGACUCCUACGGGACGCAGCAG
Molecule: ribosomal RNA, 344 nt
Filed under: uncultured bacterium
Lineage: Bacteria
Description: bacterial SSU rRNA
Rfam family: Bacterial small subunit ribosomal RNA
Source: RNAcentral